This 494-nucleotide ribosomal RNA is filed under the name uncultured bacterium. RNAcentral's name for it is "partial 16S ribosomal RNA". It matches the Rfam family "Bacterial small subunit ribosomal RNA", at positions 28 to 507 of the family's 1533-position model. The record is from RNAcentral.
GACGAACGCUGGCGGCGCGCUUAACACAUGCAAGUCGAACGGAAAGGCCUGCUUUCCCUUGUGGAUUGCGGGUACUCGAGUGGCGAACGGGUGAGUAACACGUGAGUGAUCUGCCCCCAACUUGGGUAUAAGCCUGGGAAACUGGGUCUAAUUCCCGAUAGGACUGCAGGGUGGUGCCGGUGGUGGAAAACGAUUUUCUAGUGGUUGGGGAUGAGCUCGCGGCCUAUCAGCUGGUUGGUGGGGUAAUGGCCUACGAAGGCUGCGACGGGUAGCCGGCCGGGGAGGGUGGGCCGGCGCAUUGGGACUGCGACACUGCCCCGACUCCUCCGGGAGGCAGCCGUGGGGAAUAAUGCGCGGUGGGCGGAAGCCUGAUGCAGCGACGCCGCGUGGGGGAUGACGGCCUUCGGGUUGUAAACUCCUUGCGACCGCGAGGAAGCCACCUGGUUGGAAGGGUGGUGACGGUAGUGGUAGAAGAAGCACCGGCUAACUACGUG